Molecule: ribosomal RNA, 109 nt
Filed under: Cordylochernes scorpioides
Lineage: Eukaryota; Metazoa; Arthropoda; Arachnida; Pseudoscorpiones; Chernetidae
Source: RNAcentral
GUGGUACAUUGAAAUCACCGGUUCUCGUCCGAUCACCGAAGUUAAGCAAUGUCGGGCCCGGUCAGUACUUGGGAGGGUGACCACCUGGGAACACCAGAUGCUGUAGGCU